RNAcentral lists this long non-coding RNA (17092 nucleotides) under Brassica napus (rape). Its description in RNAcentral is "long non-coding RNA (BNAP_LNC001336)". Lineage: Eukaryota; Viridiplantae; Streptophyta; Magnoliopsida; Brassicales; Brassicaceae. The record is from RNAcentral.
AGAAACAUGGGUCCAUGAACCAUUUGCUUGUCAUGGCUGAUUCAGCUACAUACCAGAGGCUUUCACACAGGAUGGAUCAGAAGAGGUGAGCUCUUGCUGCACCUUAGGCUACUUGGCUGUCAAGGUGACUAAGUAGCCAACAACUGCUGUAGCAGUUCCCAGGAUCCCACCCAUAAUGACCUGAUGACACAGAAACAGAUAUGGUCUAACAUGAAAGCCAUCACUAUUGAUCUGAGCUGCCUCAAUUUUGCAUUAUUCGCUUACCUGUGGAGGGGUAUGACCUAGAAGUUCACGCAAGGGUCUGCUUUCAGCGAGGGGAUGCUCUGAAGGAAGUUCAUACACAAUCUGAUUGAGAACCUGGAAAUGAAACAGACCCAAAUCAGCCAAAAAUAAAAACAGAUGCUAACAAAAAAAAAGAGAAAACAAACAAAAGAAAAACCUCAGCUUGGCGUCCAGCAUGUAAUCUUACACCAGUUGCAUCACACAUAACCUGCCGCAGAAAAAAAUAAAACACAAAACCCCUAACUAUUUAAUCCUCUCCUCAAGCCUUAACCAUCAAAACUGAUAAGAAAAGUGAUUGAAUAAGCCAUACAAUGGAAGUGAGAAUGAAAGCCAUAGCGAAAAGAGAUCCUCCAAAGCCUUCUUGUAAACCAACGGCCAUAGCAAGAGCUGUAACAGUUGCUGAAUGUGAAGAAGGCAUUCCUCCAGACCCAACAAGCCGUUUCAGAUCCCAUCUCUUUUCCUUAUACCUUUUGACAAAACAUACAAACAGAGUUGUCGGUAAAAUCUCUGUCUUUGUCUAAACCAUUCUCAGAAACUACAUAUGAGUAGUAAACGUACCAGGUGGUGAAGAACUUGAUGAAUUGUGCGAUGGUGAAAGCUAAUACGGCGGAAAGCAGAGGGUAGUUCGUGAAAAUAGAGAAAUAGUGGGAAGAAAGGGAAGACGAUUCCUCCAUUAGACGAUGGUCGAUUGAUCUCAUUAGGGCUUCAAAUCAAUAACGAGAGCUCUCUACUAGAUGAAGACAUGAUCCAUAAGAGGAACCCUUUGCGUGUGGAAAAAUCUUUCUUUUUGAUCUCUCUCUAAUGGGGUCUACCCUUCAAAAUCUUUAUUUUCUUCUUCCUCGAAAUAUUCUUUCGUGUUUGUUUUCUCGCUUCUUCUUUGCAACGGUGCUAUUUAAUAUCAUUUCUCAACCUAGGAAGGAGAAAACGUAUUUAUCCGAAAUUGAAUAAUCAAAUUAUUUAUCUUAUAUAUUCUGUUUCGAAGAACAUUUGUAUUCCUAUUUUUAUAUUUAUUUUUCAGUUUUCGAGAUAAAGAAUUAAAAAUCGGCUAUGCGAUUUAAAAUUCAGGAAUCGAGUGUAUAUUCACAAAAUGUAGCAUGUGAAAUGAGGAUAUGCAUGUGUUAAAAAAAGAAAAAGGAAUGAGGAUAUGUAUAGACGUUAACUUGUAUUUAUUUAUUAAUUGAUUUGUGAUUGCGCAGAAUAUGCUUCUUUGUUUGCAAUUGUAAUAAACAAGCGUCUCUCUCUCUCUCUCUCUCUCUCUCUCUCUCUCAGGCAGUGCAUUUGGAUCCAGUUUUCCGUUUGAUCAUAUAUAAAAUGUGAUUAUAAUGAAGUGGAUGAUUUUCUAGUGCCCGGUAUCGCCUCCAAAGUUCAAUACACUGAGAAUGAUAAAUCUCUUCACAGUCAGGACAUGACACUAUGUUUCCAUUGCACAGCCUGUCAUCACAAAGAGUACAAGCCACCAUAUAUGAUCUUGAGACCAUAACUUGAACCAAGUCAUGUCCUCCUUUCAAGCAAAAUUUUCCUUCUUCGUAUCUAAUGAACUUUUGCCCCCUUUGUAAUUCUCCAAGACGCAUUUUAACGCUUACCGCGCAUUUGGUACAAAUGAUGAAAUCACAUAUGCGGCAGAAUAGAUUGAAAUAAUCUAUCUUUUCUUUGCAGGUGUCACAUCUCAUAUUAGUAACCCCUGCAGGAUAACUUGGUAGAAGUGUCAAAGGAUGAUUCAAAUGGAAUCUAUACCUCGACUGUUGACUUAGCUUUAUGCAGUUAUCAUGUGCCUCGAAACGACAUGUCUCGCAUUUCCAUAAUCUUCCAUGUAUAUACCUAUAACAGAUCCAGCAUCCUUUCUGAGACGCCGUAACAUAGCGAGACCUCAGCACAUGAUUAUGCGUAACAUCAAUAACCUACAAACAUUUACCCUAAGAAAAAUUAUUAUUUGAGGCCUCAACAAUGCUGGGAGUCCGUAGUAAUAUAAAUGUCAUACGUACGUACCACGAGUUUGUUUUCUAAUUCCUUAGUUUCACAUUUAUCAUCGUGAUCAGCUGGUGGACUUGUAAGUUUUUCACCAUGAUGAGAAUACAGAUCUUUCAAGUACAACGGGGAAGGCAUUUCCUGUGAUUCAUAAAGUAGUUAAUCAUCAUCCUUACCAUCAAUCACCAAAAGAAGAGAAAAAAUAAUAUAUAUACAUAUAUGUACCUCAUGUAGAAUGCACUCAAUGUGACUUAAAAAACCACAUUCUUCGCAGCAAUAGACAUGAUGUCCUGCGUGUACCAUUGUCUCACAAACGUCACAAUACUCCAAAGAGUCAUCUUCGGAUAAGAAUAUUUUACACAUAACUGGAUGAAUGUGAUAAGAUUUGUUGACAACUAACUCGGGUAUCUCAAGACACUUGAAAUAAGACCUCCAACCACACUCCACGCAAUGAUACAAGUAGUCCCCAUAGAACCCAUCAUCGUCAGUCAUGCACACCCGACAUCCGGUUUUAAAUCUUAGUUUAGCAUUAUUACCUAGAUAAAACAACUUGUGCUGGUGAGACUUGUGCAUCAAACCUCGCAACAAGGAAUCUGCACACCUCAAGUGAAGAUAAAAACUGCAUUCUAGGCAACUAAGCGGGGCACCUUCGACAUGGAGCCCGCACGCAUCACAGACUUUUCCACCACCACAAGUAUGUGUGAAAUCAAGGCGUGUGAGAGGGUGCGCCUGAUGCACUGGAUGUUGAAUCUCUCGAGGAAGGUCAAGGCAUCGCUCGUGAGCAAACAAGUAACAUUGAGAACAACCGUAGGAUACAGCAGAAGGAGUGAGAGGAAGCUCACACAUCAAGCAGGAGCCUCUAGCGUCUGGUCCUGGUUUACACCUCCUAAGAAAGUGCGCAUGACUGUAAUGGAGCUUUUCUUCCGCGUACCAACUCGUCUUGGUGUUGUUCAGGAUGGCGCAACCAAGAUCCAAGAAGAUCUCACAGUCUUUACACUUGUAAUAAAGGGACUGAUCAGAAAACAAAUCCCCACACCCGGAGCAGAGCUUGUAUCUCUCGUUCCCGUCUUUCUUGCCUAGACAAAACUCGAGAGGGUGGUCCGGAUGAAAAUCAUGUGACACCUUGAGUGGUAGUUUCGAGCAAGCUCUGCAGAGGUCGAAGUUACAAAGAUCACAUGCGAAUUCUAUAGGUUCGUCCUUGAAGCAGAUGUUGCAGAUGCCGUUGUCUAUGAUCUCCGGCGAGGUCAGCAGACAUUCAUGGGCGCCGUGCUUGAGCUUUACCAUCGCAGAAACCGAUUCAGAUUGACUAAUUUAGCUGUAGAGAUUCUGAGAGACCAUCAUAAAUUUAAAAGCACUCACAUUCGUUCUUUUUAAAGACCAGACAAGAAUAAUCUUUAUGGUUUCUCUCUACUGUUUCAGUCUUAUUUUACCAUUCAUACUCUGCUUUUGAGAACGACACUGACCGGGUCUGCCACAAACUCAAACUUUUCCAUUUUUUAUUUGUUUUGUAUUAUCAUUCUAUCUCUUUUUGUUUGAUUUUAAUUUAUUAAAGCUUGCAAUUCAAUCUUAUAUCUUAACCAUGAAAUAAACUUAAAGUUGAUAUGCUUAAAUACAAGUUUACCCUUAAUUAAUUAUGAAAUUGUUUAAUUAAUUUUUUUGAUUCAUUACUAAAAAAACAAACAAAUGCGAUCAAAGACAUCCGGCACCAGGCUAUUAGCAAUACAAGUAAUGGGCGUGGAUGGUAUACACUUGACUUGACUUUAUGGAAGAAAAUGUAACACAAGUCAGAAAAUAAGUAUGAGACAACACACGGGGAGGCAAAACAGCAUCAGCUGACAUGACCAGUGGAGAAGCUACAUGCACUAAAAGAGGGGUAACUACCCACCAUAACUUUUUGAUUUUUGGUGACAAGAAAUCAUGCAUGCUUCUCCCAAACUAGAAGCAUUGAAACAUAUACGUCACGGUGUUUAAAACGCAACAAUCCUGUGCAAAUGCAUAAGACUACACACCGUACACAACAAGAUAACCUAGACUAGACACCCAGAAAAAAAGAAUCGAAACAUUAGCGACUUACAUACAAAGAGAGAAUCCCAAAUACCCUGUGAGAGAUUUGGAGACAACAAUCGAACCAAAUGAUAUAAUCAGAAACGUCUUCUUGGGCUUCAUGAGAAGAAUCAAAGGUCGACAGUAAAUCAUGGUUGCAGGAAGAGAAAUAAAAAGGUUCAAUAACUGGAACAUGCUCAUGAUUCUUGAACAGAACCAUGAAAGAAGUCUGUGUGAUUAGAGAUUUCAUGAGUGGUGGAGUUUAUGAAAAAGUUUGUGUGAUUAGAGAUUUCAUAAGUGGUGGAGCUUAUGAAGAAUUAUGUUGUGUAAUUAGCAGCACAGAAAAGCAUUUGUGGUUGGAAGUCAGUGACGACUAGUUAAGAGAAGCAGACAGAUUUCUCAAACAAGACAUGAAAGAAGGAUAUUUUGAAGAUUCAUAUGGGUAAUUUCAAAAGUGUUAACCCACAAGUGGAGGAACAUCUGAUGUUGAAACUUCAAGAGAAUUUUAAUAUCAAAUGUUGAAACUUCAAAAGAAGUUUAACCUACAAGUGGAGUUACAUCUAAUGUUGAAACUUCAAGAGAAGUUUACAUAGAUAAUGGAUCGGUUUCAAAUGCUAGGAGAAGCAUAACGAAUUCCAUGGAAGAAACCAGUUUGGCCUUGGGAGUGUUCAGUGGUUGUUGUGAGAAGUCUUGUGGGUAAUUUAUUAGCGUAAGUAGGCAGAAAUCUUGACAUAAGGAUUUAAGUGUAGCAAUAUGCAAGCAUGUCUGCAACAAGAAGGACGGCUAUCUAAAGCCAUCAUUGUUGUGAAGGGUUUGUUUCAGUUUUUUCUUUUGUGAUCAGACCAGAAAAAAUAGCUAAUUUUAUGUUUGGGAUCAUUGCAAAUAAGAACACAUCGCAGCGGAAAACAAAGAUAUAAGAGAAAAUUAGUUUCUCAUGUGUAUAAGAAGCUGAAACAACAAGAAGGCUGAGAAUGGUUGUUGUAGAGACAUGUCCAGAACAGUUCCAAAGGCAAGUUCUGAAGUAUAUUGUGACUAAAGGUGAAUAACAGUUAGUUGAAAAUCACAAUUCAUUGCAAGGAGACACAAGUCAGUGUCGGAAGGAUACAUCUUCAUAACUAAAUCCAGGAUUGUCAAGUUAAGAACCAAGUUGAGGUUGGUAUUCAAACUAAUAUGGAGGUUUGUGGAGUUACUUUGAAUCCAAUUGGUAGUCUUAAUCAAAUGGAGUUCUAGCUUUUGAUGAAACCAAGAAGAUUCUUCCUCAAGAAAAAAGUUUUAUUUGGAAAAGGAGCAAAUACUCAAAUUAAGCAAGAACCAACUGAGAACAUACUUUAAUAUUGUCGGUCUAUCGAUAUUUCGUUUCAAAAAAAAUGUUUUUUUGAGAUUUGUUUUAUCACACAAAAAUGUCAUUUUAGAAUUUCAAUGUAACUUAUAUUUUUUUUAAGUUUUAUAAUAACUACAAAACACAUUGCUUUAUAAAUAAUUUUAUUUAUCUUAAAUAUUAUUAGUUAUAUAUAUGCAAUUAAUAAAAACAUAAAUUCAUUUCAUUUAUUUUUUUAAUAUGUGUAGAAAAUAUUUAAAUGACACUCUUUACAAAACAGAGAAAUUAUCUAUUGUUGAAAAAUGUCAAACAACUCAGUUGUUACUCCUUCAAUUUCUUAAAAAGUGUCACUAUGAUAUUUUUCACAUAAAGUAAAAAAUGAUUAAAAUUCAUUUAUGUUCUUAAUAUUUACACAUAUUUGACCAAUAGUAUUUGAGAUAAAUUAAUUUUUUAAUAAAAUUAAUAUAAUUUGCAGUCAAUAUUAAACUGAAAAUAAAGUUUAAUUUGCAUUAGAAUUCUAAAAUAACAUUUUUGUUUAACAAAAAAAAUGUCAAGCGACACAUUCUGAAAAAUAGUGAAAGUAUGAAACAAAGGAGUGGUGUAGAAAAUUACUGAUCUACUAAUUUCUCUGAUGAUAUCAACGAAUAAAGUCCAUUUAUUGUUUUUGGAAACUGUGCUCCACUCGGAAUAUGCGAAGAAGAAAAGGAUGAGCUUACGGUGAUGAUUGGUUCGACUGUGGCUUUAAAAAUUUAGCUGUAGAUGUUUAGCUGUAGAUAAAUUGGUUGUAGCUGUAAAGUUGUUACUGUAGACUUUUUCUGCAGAGAUUUUUGCUGUAGUUUAAUUUAUUGUAGCUGUAAGUUAUAGACUGUAAAUAUUUUAAAAUAAAAUAUAUGAAAGAUGUGUUGUAUAUAUAAAAUUAUUAUUUUAUAUGAAUUAAAAUAAUUUAUAUUAAUAUUUUGUUUAUUAAUUAUCAAAAUUUAUUGUAAUUCAAAAUGUGAUAUGUAAAUAAUAUUUAUAUUAUUUAAAUAUCUUAAUAAUUAAAAAACACUCAAAUUCAAAAUUAAAAUAUUUAUAAAUUUUUUUAUUAUGAUUAUAUAAUCUAUUUGAUAUUAUAGAUAUUUUUUUUCAUUUUACAGAUUCUACAGCCUAUAAAAAAAUAAUGUAGUAUUUUUGUCUAAAAUACAUAAGAAAAAGUUUUGCUUUAUUUUUUUUGUUGUAGCUUUAAAAAUAAAGCUAAAGUAUGAUUGGUAAAACUAAAUAAAAAUUUGAUGUAGAUUUUAAUUUUUAAAAGUAAAGCUACAUCAUGAUUGGUAAAUUUAGUGAUUUAAAAAUAAAUAAAGCUAAAGUAUGGAGAUAAAGCCCAACCAAUCACCCUCUACAUCUCUUUUAUUAAAAAGGAAAUAUUCUCUUGGAUCCAACUUUUUAUGAGAUUUUAAAUUAAAUACAUUUUUAUUAUUAAAUAAUUAUUUUCAAACAACACAAUAAUUAAUUUAUAUUCAAACAAUAUAAAACAGUAACAAAAUAUAUCAUAUAAUUAACCAAAUAAGUUACAAAGAUUUUGUUAAAAAAGCUUGAAAUAACUAUUACAUAAUAAUUUAAUAAUAGCUAUUACAUAAGAAAUAUAUAUAUAUAUAUAUAUAUAUAUAUAUAUAAAUAAUAUACAGUAAAUAUAAUAACAAAAAUAAUUAUGAAAAUAUUCAAAAUAUAUAUUAUCUAAGAUAAAUGCUUAACAUUAAUUAUAAAAAAUAAAUUCAAACUCAUUAUAAUAUGAACCAAAUUAUUAGCAAGAUAUAUUACACAAAACAGUUAUAACAAUAUUAAUUGUUAGGAUAAAUUCAUGCAUGUACGUUUAUAGUAGUACGGAACAUAAAAACAAAGUAAGGAAAAGAAGGAAAAGAGAUCAUAAAUAUUGUUCUAUUGAUUUUUAGAGCAUGAACUAUAAAAUUGAUGUACAGACCUUAGUUAUAUCCGUCUAGUUCUAAUAUUUUGUGUAUAAUGAUCAAUCUUUUUUUUUCUAGGGUUUAGACCCCUUUUGUAUAGGAAGUUCAUAGUUGGCAAUUAGAUUAGAGAGUUCCAUAAUCAGAAAUAUGGAAGAAUUUUCUUUGGUAUAAAUCUUUCAUUUUAUCCGAAAGCAUGGAUGAAGCUUAGUCUGAUCAGAAAUUUUCUCCAAACAAGAAUCAGAAAGUCGGCAUCCUCCUCAGAAGCAUGAAUAAUGUCUUCCUGAAUUAUCUAUUCCCAACAUUAAUUAUUUAAUUUGGCUAUAUAAAAUAAAUAUUACUCCCUCUAUAUAAUUUUAGUUGGUGUUUAAAGUUUUUACACAAAAAUUAAGAAAAUACAAAAUUUUAUGUAGUUUAUCUUAGUUACAUAAAAGUAACAUUAAAUAAAAUUAUUUUAACAAAUAAAAAAAUACCAUAUUUUAUAAUUGGUUACACCUUUUUAAUAACAUUAAAUUUUAUCUACAAUAGUAAGAACAUCACAUAAUAUGAAAUAAAAUUAAAAUUUCUAAACACCACUUAAAGUGAUAGGAAGGAAGUAUGUAACUAAAAUAUCUCUUACCACUUACCACUAAACAACAUUUAAUUAAUUAAACAAAAUAAUCAUUUAGUUUAUAAAAUUUGUUUUUUUGUCAACUUAUAAAAUUUGUUUAAUCGAUUUAAAAUAAAACCUAUGGCGCCACGCAGAUCAUGAUCUAAUUACAUGUUAUAACAUCAAUUUCUUUUUACUAUUACCUAUAUUAACAAACAAUAAAAACCACGUUUGAAUUCAAACUUUUGUUAAACGUGUUUUGAAACUAAUUUUGUUGAAUGUUACCGAACACUAUCGGUAUCUUCUUCAUAAUUGGUCUCACGUUCAUGGUCAGACUAUCUUUACUUUAAUUCCUCCCAGCCGUUAAUUUGUUCCGUUAGUAAUUGCGUCACUAAGAACAUCUCCAAUGUAAAACUUCAUUUUUUUCUCUAAAAUAGAGUAAAAGUGAAAAUGAAGUAAAAUUGCUCCAACCCUACUCUAUUUUCUACUCCAUAAUGGAGUGAUGAACAAACAAAAAUAGUUUACUCCAUUUAUGGAGUAAACUUCAUUAUUGAGUGAGAUAUGGAGUUGGGUUGGAGCAUUCUUUACUCCAUAUUCACUUUUACUCUAUUUUCGAGAAAAAAAUGGAGUAGAAAUGCCCGAUUACAUUCUAAAUACAAUAAUAAUAGAAGUAAACACAAAACAAUGGCUACCAACAUAGAGAGAAAGAAGGAAACUUAAAAGAGAAUGAAGAAGGCAAAUGACCGCUUCUCCUUAUAUAGUCAGCUCUCUCCGAUGUCCUCACCGACAUCUCGUUCAGCUUCGCCUCCGCAUUUGCUCUCCUCUCUUCCGCUAUCCUCUUUGUCGCCGCCAGCUUGUUCGCCGACUUCUCCUCCGCUCUCGCUUUCAUCCUCUCCGCCUUCACCUACACACACAUUCACUUCUUGAAUUUUAAGAUAAUUAUUCAUUUUUCAAAGAAAUAUUUGCUUAAAUAUUGAAUCCAAACCAACACCAAAACCGGUUUAAACCGAUCCACAAUGUAUUUGAUGAGAAUCUUACCUCCAUUUUUUUCAUCUCCAUCUCGGCCUUUCUCUUCUCGUGAUUCUCCCAAGCCUGUAUCUUCACUUCCUCUCUCUUAUACCUAACCACAUUCCAGCAAAAGUAAAACCUCAAAACACUGGUAUAUAAUGAAGCCACGUUAGCACCAAUUAAAUCAUUCAUUAACCAAUUAAUUAGUGUUAAUCACCUAGCCAUGAACUUAGCGCGUUCUGCUUCAUCCCAAGCCAUGGCUCGAGCUUCCAUAGCAUUCAUCGCCUUAGUAUUACUGUUAUCUCCUAAUCCAAUGUUUUCAUUAUUAUUACUCGCCACGCUUCUAGUCUCCGUCACCGUCGCCACCUCCGUCGCCAUCCUCACCGUCUCUCCGCAGCGAGAAGCUCUCACCGGUGACGUCACAGGACUUCUCCCGACCGGCGUUGUGGCCCGCACAGGCGUAGCUGUUCUAGAAGGCUCCUGGCUCCCGAUCGGAGUCAUCUCAGUCCCCAUGUCCCUCACGCAAACCGAUCGAAUCGCAGCCGUAGGAUUAAUACUCUCUUUCCUCCAAACCGAACCACCUGGUUCUCCACAGUCUACGUUCUUUGUCUCCACCUCCGGCCUCCCCGCCGCCGCGUCUCCGUCUUCGUAUUCAACGUACUGAUCUUCUCCUUCGCGUUCUCUCUGCGAAGCAGAAGCUAUUAGUCGAAGAUCAUCAGCGUUGGAGUUUCUCGGUUUACAGCUCCUCGAGUGGUGGUUCUUCUCUCCACCUCCGCCGCCGCCGCGAGACAAACCAACUCCGGAGAGCCAUUUCUGAGCGUCGUCCCAUUUUGACGGUGCUGGUUUCCCCAUGGUAGACCGGUGGUGGUUUGGUGUCCGGUUUGCGCCUUUCUGAAACUCAAAACCGAUAUUACCAUGUCCGUUCAUCUCUGGCGUCCCUGGUCCGAGACACCCUUUGUUAUCUUCCACCCCUUGAGAUCUCAUUCUUCUUAGGAUAAAUAAAUAAAAACAGAACACAGAGAUCUAUCUGUUCAAACUCUUACAAGAAGUCAGGAGUAAUAUAAGGUUUUAUAUAUUCAUUAAUGGAUAAAGAAGGAGAGGUGACUUCAAGAAGGGAUUAAAAGGAUAUAAGUGGAAGUGAGGAAGAUGUGGCGAAACAAUCAAAGAGUCGUCACUCUCGUAGACCCAACUUUAUGAAUGUGAGAGAUUUAGCAGAGAGUCAUUAAAUGCCAGAUGGGUUGUUGUAGAGACGAGAAUGAUAGUCUUUAUAACUCCAAUUAGUUCUGUCUUUUUUUCUAUCGAAAUGACACAAUCAUAUACCCCCAAAGAUUUUUUUUCCUUAGUUGAAAAUAGUGCAAAUGGGUUUGCUUAAUUAUAAUAAUGCUCAGAUCUGGUGUUAUCUCCUAAUCCAAUGUUUUCAUUAUUAUUACUCGCCACGCUUCUAGUCUCCGUCACCGUCGCCACCUCCGUCGCCAUCCUCACCGUCUCUCCGCAGCGAGAAGCUCUCACCGGUGACGUCACAGGACUUCUCCCGACCGGCGUUGUGGCCCGCACAGGCGUAGCUGUUCUAGAAGGCUCCUGGCUCCCGAUCGGAGUCAUCUCAGUCCCCAUGUCCCUCACGCAAACCGAUCGAAUCGCAGCCGUAGGAUUAAUACUCUCUUUCCUCCAAACCGAACCACCUGGUUCUCCACAGUCUACGUUCUUUGUCUCCACCUCCGGCCUCCCCGCCGCCGCGUCUCCGUCUUCGUAUUCAACGUACUGAUCUUCUCCUUCGCGUUCUCUCUGCGAAGCAGAAGCUAUUAGUCGAAGAUCAUCAGCGUUGGAGUUUCUCGGUUUACAGCUCCUCGAGUGGUGGUUCUUCUCUCCACCUCCGCCGCCGCCGCGAGACAAACCAACUCCGGAGAGCCAUUUCUGAGCGUCGUCCCAUUUUGACGGUGCUGGUUUCCCCAUGGUAGACCGGUGGUGGUUUGGUGUCCGGUUUGCGCCUUUCUGAAACUCAAAACCGAUAUUACCAUGUCCGUUCAUCUCUGGCGUCCCUGGUCCGAGACACCCUUUGUUAUCUUCCACCCCUUGAGAUCUCAUUCUUCUUAGGAUAAAUAAAUAAAAACAGAACACAGAGAUCUAUCUGUUCAAACUCUUACAAGAAGUCAGGAGUAAUAUAAGGUUUUAUAUAUUCAUUAAUGGAUAAAGAAGGAGAGGUGACUUCAAGAAGGGAUUAAAAGGAUAUAAGUGGAAGUGAGGAAGAUGUGGCGAAACAAUCAAAGAGUCGUCACUCUCGUAGACCCAACUUUAUGAAUGUGAGAGAUUUAGCAGAGAGUCAUUAAAUGCCAGAUGGGUUGUUGUAGAGACGAGAAUGAUAGUCUUUAUAACUCCAAUUAGUUCUGUCUUUUUUUCUAUCGAAAUGACACAAUCAUAUACCCCCAAAGAUUUUUUUUCCUUAGUUGAAAAUAGUGCAAAUGGGUUUGCUUAAUUAUAAUAAUGCUCAGAUCUGGUCCGUGAAAAUGCUUUGGUACUGACACUAGUUAUCGAAUAGUAGUACUCCAUACGGAUGUGCUUUACUAAUAAAAAUCAUAAAAAAAUAUUUUUGCGAACUAUAUUUCUAAAAACAUCUAUUUUAAAAAACUAAAACGAAUAUCAAUCUUGUUUGUUUCCCAUUAUUAUCCGACUCCUGUAUUUUAUUUCUCAUAUAUUAUUUGGAUUCGUGUAGAUGUAUAGUACAUUGUGAGAGUGUGACCAAAUAGAUAGUAUCACUAAGAGUUUUUUUUUUUUGGAGAAAAUCAUUUUAUUAUAUCAAUUCCUAAACUAUAAUAGAAACGUUUCACUCGUGAAUCGUUUUUUGCUUACUACUGUUUUCAAAACGUUGCAUUAUUCUAUUACCGCUUACCUUCCUUAAUCGCUAAAGAAAAUACUUGUUUCGUUUUCGAUCAUUAGUCGAAUAAGUCUUUAGAAACAUCAGCUAACGCUGUGUUUUUAUAUACGAAUGGCACAGUCAUGUAGCCCAGAAGAGUCGUGUAAUUGGGUUUUUAUAAUAAUAAGCUCAGAUCUGGUUCGUCAAAAGACUGCCAAUGCUGUAAAGAAUAGUAUUCAUCAUGUGUACGACUGUACGUGGGAGGAAGUGACUCGACAAUCAUCUACUACUAUAGUAUAGUGUUAAUAAAAUAAAGCAAUACUCCCUCUGUUUUUUAUUAUAAGUCGUUUUGAAGCUAUGCACAUAGAUUAAGAAAAUCAUUAAUUUCUUAUAUUUUCGAAACAAAAACAUCAUUAAUUAUUUACCUAACCACAAUUUAACCAAUAGAAAAAUAGAAGAUAUAUUAUCAUUGGUCAGACAACAUUAAUUACUAAUAAAUGUUACAUAAAAAACCGAAAACGACAUAUAAUUUGGAACAAAAAAGUUUCUCUAAAACGACUUAUAUUAAAAAACGGAGGGAGUAGUAAUUAUGCAAAUGGGAAUAAUCACGAACAAUUAGGAGGAAUCUCGGGAAAACCAAAGAGUUUAGCAAAGAGUUAAAACUUCCACUGCAAUUCCCGAGAGCAAAUUUUUAAAGAUACAGUUGUACUUUUUAACGGUAACUUUUAGAACCUUUGAUUAAGAUUUAGAUGAAUGCAGUUUCGCAGAGAUAGUGAUACGUGUACGGGUAGAGAUAUUGGAAGGAGCGGCGAGCGAUGGUUUUUGCCGGUCCGGGUUGAGGGCAAAAGUGGGUCCAUGUUUGUCUGACAAACUCACGUGGUCCUUCAAAGUGCCCCCCUACUGCUUGUGGACUGGACCGUCUUGUUGUUUUCUUUUGGAUUCGUUAGCAUGGUACUUCUUUUAAACUCUCAUUUUCUGUUUUUGUUAAGUUUUCUAAUUUAUGAAAAAAGUUAUUUAAACUGGAUAUAAAGUUAGAAUGGAUUAAUAACUAAGGACGUAAACAAUAAAUGCUUACAGUAGUUAGAACAAAUGAGGAAUAAGGAAAACCUCUUUUUCUCACUUUAAUUUUUUUAAAAUCAAUCAAAUUAAAUAUCUAUCUAUUUUCUUUUACCUAUAAUAUAUUUUUUUUGUUUGUUUUUCUAGUUUUCUAAUUUUCGUAUAUUUUAUUUUGUGUUCUAUUGAAGCUUUCGAAGUAUGAGAUAAUACUUUUAUAAAUAUUUUCUAGAGAUUUCAUGACUAUUCAUUUCUACUAAUCCCAAUAGUGUUAUCGCUAUUUUCUUUUUGUUUCGGAGGAUGUCAAAUUCUGGAGGUAUUGAGUGGAUUUCGUGUUCACUGGUUAAUGCUUGAUUCAUCUCGCAAGAUGGAGUAAUCUUCUUCACUUUGUUUAAGGAUUUGAGUUGUUAGGAAUCUGUUUGACCGCUUCAAAUCAGAAUCAUUAUAGUUGGGUAUGAAAUAUAAAGCUCCGUUGAAUAGAUAAUGGUUGCAACAAAAGUUUGACCCAAAAAAAAAAUGGUUGCAACAAAAGAUGUGAGUAUAUAUACAAAGAGGAAGCUAGAGUAUUACAAGUUAAUGAGUUAUAUAUAGAAAUAUUGUUAUAUAAUCAUUGAUUGAUCUUUAAUACACAGAAUGCGUUUCGACAAAUAUUCUACCCCCGAAAUCUGUCGUUGAUCUCUAGGUUUAUGCUCUGAAGACUAUAUUGAGAAUCCUGCCAUCUGGUUAUGAAGCAGAAUAAAUAAAUGGUGGUACUUAGAUGAAGCAUCCAUGUGGCGUUGGGGACAUAAAGCUUCACCACCGGUGAAGAUCCAUCACAGAGAUUUUGAAGGCGGCGAUGCUUCAGAGACCUGCUCUGAACAAGACAUAUGUUGUUGAGGUGUCGAUGGAUAAGAUUAAACGCAUAAAAAAAUAAAACAAAAAGAUGAUAAGAUUAAACGUGUGUGCGCUCACGUAUCUUAGGCUCAUCAUUUUGUUUUUUUUUUUUUUUGAAAAGGCUCAUCAUUUUGUAUGUUAUUCGGCUUUUUUUGUUUGAUACCAAAACUUUGCUUUUAUGAAUUUUUGAUACAAAAGAUGGUGGACAAAAAAAAAGUAAACAAUAGUUGACGUUACUUGUAAAUGAGUAGUUUACAGAAUUUGAAUUUCUCAUUGAUUCGGAUACUUCAGAAAUCUUAUGAAUGAAACAUGAUGUAUGUGGAUCCAAAUAAACCUUAGAAUUGUUUUUGUCCCUAAUGUUGUGUCAAAUUAGUAAGUAGUUGAUAUGAAACCACGAACACAUUUAUAUUAUCAGAUAAAUUUUGUGUAGUUACUGUAACAUGCGACAUUCAAUGAAAGAUGUAUUGGUUCUCUUGACAUAAUCGUUUGAAGUUACAGUCGUUUAGUCCAUAGUUCAUUCAUGCCUUUCGUUUCGUGACUUGCUCUUCGGUGCGGUUUAGUGCUACAAAAACAAUGUUUCAAAAUGCUGGACAACAAUGCUUAAACUUUGUUCACUGAUUAUGAUACAUGGUAGCGUGUUAUAAGAAUUUUCUCAACAAUUUAUACACACACUGUUCUAUAAAUAUUAUUAAUAAUUUAUAAACACAGAGGCCAGAGCCAAUCGAAUUUAUGGGUGAUGGUAUAACGUAGAGAUGAGCAAAUAAACUGAAUCUAAUAAAUCGAACUGAUCCGAUGAAAAUAAAUUUGAAAUAAACUGAAUCCGACAUAAAUAUCAAUGGACCUCGUUCUAAGAUGUUUUGGAUUAUGAAUUUUACAUUAAUCUAAAUUCGAAUGGAUAUCCAAAAAUAUUAAAAAAUUCAAAUCUCAAGAAAUUUUUUUACCAAAGUCAAAUUCAAUCCUGGAUAAAUACUCAAAAUACUAUUAAAUACUUAAAAUAAUUACAUGUUAGAUGAAUAAUCAACUCAUAUAGUUAAUUUAAUAUAUAUAUAGAGAUAUUUGGUCAAAGAUUAAAGAUUGUAUUUUGACAAUUUUAUAAUAUGCUUGUGUUUGAAGAUUAAACAAUUGUUUUUUUUUUGAAGUUUAAAUAAGAUUUUUUUACUUUUAUCAAGUUCAUAGUUUCUAGUUUUUAUUUCUUUAUUUUUUCUUCUUAACAAAUGAAUCAUUCACAAAGCUUUUGUUAGUAAAACUUGUUUAAAUUUGCCAAGUUUGUAAAUUAAAUUGUGUAGUUUUGAAUUACAAGCAAAUAUUUGGAUAACCAAAAUCCGAUGUAUAACCGAAUCCAAAACUAAAAUGGGUUCAACUAAGUUUACAGUGUAUAUUCGAACCAAAUCCAAAGAACUCUGAAUUAAAUCAUAACAUAACUUUUAAAAUAUCCAAAUGGAGUCAAAUUUUCAUGUCUCCAUAAAAAUCGAAACCCAAAUAAAUUCAAACCGAACCCUAUUGGACAUAUGAGUAUCCAUACCUAUUAUAAUGCAUACCAACAUAAACCGUUAAUUAUACUCUUUCCGUUUUGAUAAGAUAAAUGUUUUCGACUUUUUUUUGUUUCAAAAUGAUAAUUUCAAAAUGUUAAUCUUUCAUGAUGAUUUAUGAGUCAAAUACUCCCUCCGUUUCAUUAAGAUAGAAGUUUUAGAAAAAAAUUUGUUUCACAAAAAUAAUUUUUUUUUAUGUUUUUAAUACAAAAAUUGUAAAUUUCAAUAAAAUUAACUGAAAUUAUUGAAAUACUAUUGGUUGAAAAGCAUUGAAAUUCGAUAAUUCCAAAAAACGAUACAUGAUUAAUGUGUUUUCUUAAUAUGUGUGAAAACAUCACAACAUCUAUCUUUAAGAAACGGAGGCAAUACUAAAUUGUAAAUUUCUGAUUUUGUUGUGUUAUUAAAAUUUUAUUGGUUUGAAUUAUAAAAAUAUGUAAUCUGCAUUUAUAAUUAAAUUGUAGUAUAUUUUGUAACAUGUGUGAAGAACCAUGAUCAGAGUAAUGAAUAAUGCAAAACAUUGCUUCUCAACUCAGUCUUGAAGUCUAGAAUUGCUUACAUUUGGAUCGGGUUUGUUACUAAUAGCCAGGUUUAUGAAGAAGUACAUGUUUCUCUCUCUCUGUAGCUCAGUUUUCCAACAAAUUCACUAGGAAGAGUAAAUGUUAUUUUUGAUCUGUUGUGCGCUUCAUGGCUCUUCUUACCAGGAGAAUUCUUUAAGGCCACACACCUCCAUACAUAUUCUUGCUGGUGAGUCUUUGGACUGGUGAUCUCGGAGCUCUUACUGCUCGCAAAAGACAGUAUGUUCCAUCUGCUGAUCAGGACUCUCUCAUAUGGCGUCUUUGGUUAACUAAAUCUCUGUUUAUUUCGUGAGGUUGUGCCGACAAGAAAAGUAAAGAGGUCCUUAUAAUAUCGCCACUAAAGGAAUCAUUUCAGAUAUAGCUCAUGCCCUCUUCAACGUGGCAGAGGAGACAUAAGUUAAUAUACACUAAGAUAUGUGUUUAAUAACAAGAGAUUAACAUUAGCUCUACAGGCUUUCUGUGUAGAUAUAGUGGAAGUUAAAUGAAUGACAAUUUUGACCCAAGAAAGAAAAGAGAAAAGGAUAUGACACUCUUCUACGGGUGGGAUAUCAGUAAAUAUUUGAAGAGAGGUUCCAUUGCUUGGCGAUGUUUUGGAUUUGACCCUCCUCUGCAAUUUAACAAAGAACCACUAUAGAUAUGGAGGUUUCCAUAAAUUUGAGUUUAAAAAUAAUGAUCCUGCUGUAUCUAAACAUAUCAUACUCGUUUGUUAGUUCAAGGCAAAAGCUCCUCUGUUACCACAUCAUAUAUCCGUGUAAUGACCUUUUUUCAUGUUUUCUUUACAAGACCCAAACCUAUACUAUGUUGUCAAUGAUACAAGCUGAGCACCGGAAAGAAACUUGGGUCAAUGACCCAGUUUCCAGAGUCCAUUUGCUUGUCAUGGCUGAUUCAGCUACAUACCAGUGACUUUCACAAAAGAUGGAUAAGAAGAGAAGAGGUGAGCUCUUGCUGCACCUUAGGCUACUUGGCUGUCAAGGAGACUAAGUAGCCAACAACUGCUGUAGCAGUUCCAAGGAUCCCACCCACAAUGACCUGAUGACACAUAAAACAGAUAUGGUCUAACAUGAAAGCCAUC